ACUCCUACGGGAGGCAGCAGUGGGGAAUAUUGCACAAUGGGCGCAAGCCUGAUGCAGCCAUGCCGCGUGUAUGAAGAAGGCCUUCGGGUUGUAAAGUACUUUCAGCAGUGAGGAAGGUGAGUGUAGUUAAUAGCUGCUAUUAUUUGACGUUAGCAUAGAAGAAGAAGCCGACCGGCUAACUCCGUGCCAGCAGCCGCGGUAAUACGGAGGGUGCGAGCGUUAAUCGGAAUUACUGGGCGUAAAGCGCAUGCAGGUGGUUUGUUAAGUCAGAUGUGAAAGCCCGGGGCUCAACCUCGGAA
RNAcentral lists this ribosomal RNA (299 nucleotides) under uncultured bacterium. RNAcentral describes it as "partial 16S ribosomal RNA". It matches the Rfam family "Bacterial small subunit ribosomal RNA", at positions 335 to 620 of the family's 1533-position model. The record is from RNAcentral.